Molecule: ribosomal RNA, 177 nt
Filed under: uncultured Lactobacillus sp.
Lineage: Bacteria; Bacillati; Bacillota; Bacilli; Lactobacillales; Lactobacillaceae
Description: partial 16S ribosomal RNA
Rfam family: Bacterial small subunit ribosomal RNA
Source: RNAcentral
CCUACGGGAGGCAGCAGUAGGGAAUCUUCCACAAUGGACGCAAGUCUGAUGGAGCAACGCCGCGUGAGUGAAGAAGGCUUUCGGGUCGUAAAACUCUGUUGUUGGAGAAGAAUGGUCGGCAGAGUAACUGUUGUCGGCGUGACGGUAUCCAACCAGAAAGCCACGGCUAACUACGUG